This is an RNA transcript of Propithecus coquereli (Coquerel's sifaka), 815 nucleotides long. It is a transcript of the gene named 60S ribosomal protein L27 pseudogene, with no coding region annotated. The transcript is spliced from 3 exons. The record is from RefSeq and is a predicted model, not a curated record. Lineage: Eukaryota; Metazoa; Chordata; Mammalia; Primates; Indriidae.
AUGCAGGUGAUGGGAAGUCAGAGACAAGUCUUACCCGGAGCUAGCUCCGAUCACCAAGUUGGUGGUUACUGUGGCACCAUCCACCCCCAACUCGCCCAUCGCGAUCUGAGGAAAAAUGGAAACAAGGAAGGAUGGAAAGCUGAAAACACAAAGCUCCGAGUCCCCACCCACGCUUCAAUCAAAGGAGAUCAUUACUCCAAACUAUGUGUAUGGACAAGGAGGAGCCCUGGUGAAGAGGAGAAGAACGGAGCAUUCCGAAAUGUAAUGACGUAUACUUUAUCAGCCACGACUUGCACAGUGAAAGAAGCAAAGUCAAAAAAUUGUGACACCCUUCCUUUCUGCUGUAGACCCUGCUGGUUGCGUCGAAAUGGGCAGGUUCAUGAAACCGGGAAAGUGGUGCUGGUCCUGGCCGGACGCUACUCCGGACGGAAAGCCGUCGUGGUGAAGAACAUUAAUGAUGGCACUUCAGACCGUCCCUACAGCCAUGCUCUGGUGGCUGGAAUUGACCGCUAUCCCCGCAAAGUGACAGCUGCCAUGGACAAGAAGAAGAUUGCCAAGCGAUCAAAGAUCAAGUCUUUUGUGAAAGUUUAUAACUACAAUCACCUCAUGCCCACAAGGUACUCUGUGGAUAUACCCUUGGACAAAACUGUUGUCAACAAGGAUGUCUUCAUAGACCCUGCUCUUAAACGCAAGGCCCGACGGGAGGCCAAGGUCAAGUUUGAAGAGAGGUACAAGAUGGGCAAGAAUAAGUGGUUCUUCCAGAAGCUGCGGUUUUAAGCGUUUUUUGUUUUGGUCAUUAAAAAUAUUAAAAAAAA